RNAcentral lists this non-coding RNA (125 nucleotides) under Elusimicrobiota bacterium. Its description in RNAcentral is "Elusimicrobia bacterium FMN sequence". It matches the Rfam family "FMN riboswitch aptamer (RFN element)". From Rfam's summary of the family: The RFN element is a highly conserved domain that is found frequently in the 5'-untranslated regions of prokaryotic mRNAs that encode for flavin mononucleotide (FMN) biosynthesis and transport proteins. This element is a metabolite-dependent riboswitch that directly binds FMN in the absence of proteins. The record is from RNAcentral. Lineage: Bacteria; Pseudomonadati; Elusimicrobiota.
CGAGCUCUUCAGGGCGGGGUGCGAUUCCCCACCGGCGGUAUAACCCGCAAGCCUCCCUCGUUAAGGGAGGCAGAUUCGGUGAAACUCCGAAGUCGACGGUAAAGUCCGGAUGAAAGAAGAACUUA